RNAcentral lists this ribosomal RNA (504 nucleotides) under uncultured bacterium. RNAcentral describes it as "partial 16S ribosomal RNA". It matches the Rfam family "Bacterial small subunit ribosomal RNA", at positions 29 to 507 of the family's 1533-position model. The record is from RNAcentral.
ACGAACGCUGGCGGCGUGCCUAAUACAUGCAAGUAGAACGCACAGUUUAUACCGUAGCUUGUUACACCAUAAACUGUGAGUUGCGAACGGGUGAGUAACGCGUAGGUAACCUGCCUGGUAGCGGGGGAUAACUAUUGGAAACGAUAGCUAAUACCGCAUAAUAUUGAUUAUUGCAUGAUAAUUGAUUGAAAGAUGCUAUUGCAUCACUACCAGAUGGACCUGCGUUGUAUUAGCUAGUAGGUGAGGUAACGGCUCACCUAGGCGACGAUACAUAGCCGACCUGAGAGGGUGAUCGGCCACACUGGGACUGAGACACGGCCCAGACUCCUACGGGAGGCAGCAGUAGGGAAUCUUCGGCAAUGGACGAAAGUCUGACCGAGCAACGCCGCGUGAGUGAAGAAGGUUUUCGGAUCGUAAAGCUCUGUUGUAAGAGAAGAACGGGUGUGAGAGUGGAAAGUUCACACUGUGACGGUAUCUUACCAGAAAGAGACGGCUAACUACGUG